UUAAAAGUAACUAAUAUUUAAGUGAUUUCUUUGUUAAAGAUUUAAUGAGUGGUAGCUCCUUUUAAG
This 66-nucleotide transfer RNA is filed under the name Sacculina confragosa. RNAcentral describes it as "tRNA-Asn". Lineage: Eukaryota; Metazoa; Arthropoda; Thecostraca; Sacculinidae. The record is from RNAcentral.